AGUGGCUGGAUGACUGUUUUCCUCCUUCUAUAGUCCACCACCAUCUCCUUUGUCUUGGAGAUGUUGAGGAUCAAAUUGUUCUUCCUACACCAGACCGACAACCACUGCACCUCCUCUCUAUAGGUGGACUUAUCCUCACCAGAAAUAAGUCCCACCAUAGUAGUGUCAACAGCAAACUUAAUGAUAUUGUUGCUGAAGUGAGAGGGGGGUGCAGUCAUAGGUGUAGAGGGUGUAGAGCAAAGGACUCAGCACGCAGCCCUGAGGAGAGCCGGUGCUGAGGCUAAUGGCCAAAGAGAUGUGAGGGCCAACUCUCACCCUCUGAGAGCGGUCUGUGAGGAAGUCCAAGAUCCACCGGCAAAUAGAGUGGGACACCCCAUGUCCAACAACUUAAUCACCAGUCUGCUUGGAAGAAUGGUAUUAAAUGCUGAGCUAAAGUCCACAAAGAGCAGCCCCACAUAGCUCCCCUGCUGCUCCAGAUGGGACAGAGCAGCAUGUAGAGCCAUAAUGAUGGCAUCCUCCGUGGACCUGCUCGCACGAUAAGCAAACUGGUGAGGGUCAAACCCAGGGGGAAGGCAGGACUGGAAAUAUGAUGUAGGCCCGGACUAACUUUUCAAAGCACUUCAUAAUAAUCAGAGUUAGUGCCACCGGGCGAUAGUCAUUCAGAUCACUGAUCCUGGUCUUCUUAGGGAGGGGGACAAUAAUAGAGGACUUCAGGCAGGGGGGAACAGCAGCCUGGCUCAGAGACUGGUUGAAAAUGUUUG
Long non-coding RNA from Thalassophryne amazonica, 761 nucleotides. RefSeq lists it as uncharacterized. The transcript is spliced from 2 exons. The record is from RefSeq and is a predicted model, not a curated record. NCBI's taxonomy places the organism in Eukaryota, Metazoa, Chordata, Actinopteri, Batrachoidiformes, Batrachoididae.